GAUGAACGCUGGCGGCGUGCCUAAUACAUGCAAGUCGAGCGAACAGACGAGGAGCUUGCUCCUUUGACGUUAGCGGCGGACGGGUGAGUAACACGUGGGUAACCUACCUAUAAGACUGGGAUAACUUCGGGAAACCGGAGCUAAUACCGGAUAAUAUUUCGAACCGCAUGGUUCGAUAGUGAAAGAUGGCUUUGCUAUCACUUAUAGAUGGACCUGCGCCGUAUUAGCUAGUUGGUAAGGUAACGGCUUACCAAGGCAACGAUACGUAGCCGACCUGAGAGAGUGAUCGGCCACACUGGAACUGAGACACGGUCCAGACUCCUCCGGGAGGCAGCGGUAGGGAAUCGUCCGCAAUGGGCGAAAGACUGACGGAGCAACGCCGCGUGAGUGAUGAAGGUCUUCGGAUCGUAAAACUCUGUUAUUAGGGAAGAACAAACGUGUAAGUAACUGUGCACGUCUUGACGGUACCUAAUCAGAAAGCCACGGCUAACUACGUG
This 497-nucleotide ribosomal RNA is filed under the name uncultured bacterium. Its description in RNAcentral is "partial 16S ribosomal RNA". It matches the Rfam family "Bacterial small subunit ribosomal RNA", at positions 28 to 507 of the family's 1533-position model. The record is from RNAcentral.